RNAcentral lists this ribosomal RNA (253 nucleotides) under uncultured bacterium. Its description in RNAcentral is "partial 16S ribosomal RNA". It matches the Rfam family "Bacterial small subunit ribosomal RNA", at positions 524 to 776 of the family's 1533-position model. The record is from RNAcentral.
UACGUAGGGUGCGAGCGUUAAUCGGAAUUACUGGGCGUAAAGCGUGCGCAGGCGGUAAGUUAAGUCUGAUGUGAAAGCCCCGGGCUCAACCUGGGAAUGGCAUUGGAAACUGGCUUGCUAGAGUGUGGCAGAGGGGGGUGGAAUUCCGCGUGUAGCAGUGAAAUGCGUAGAGAUGCGGAGGAACACCGAUGGCGAAGGCAGCCCCCUGGGCUGACACUGACACUGAUGAGCGAAAGCCAGGGGAGCAAACGGG